CUCUCUGAUAGAACUUAGAAUUUCUGAUCACAUCCAGGGGCCAAAACCAGUUCUGUGAGCCACUGGAUGAAGACAUUGACCAACUAGAAAGCAUCUGCAGAGGUCAAGUAGGACCAUGGGAGAUCCAGAUUCCAUUUAAACAAGAAUGCCUUAAAGAAGUGGGAAUAUUUAGCCUGAGUGAGAGAAAAUGCUCUUACUCUGUGUGUGAUCAGAGGAGGAGAAAGGAGGACAAAGUUACAUCAAUGUGAUCAGCAACCAUUUGAUAGAGCUACUGUGCUCAAGAGGGGACAGUUUGAUUUAUACGUUUGACAAGGUGGAGCCAGGAUCAAUGAGUGAACAUUAAAGGAAAGAAUAUUUGGGCUCAAUAUUUGGGCUCAAUAUUUUGGGCUCAAUAAUUUGGGCUCAAUAAGGAGGACUUUCCCAAUAAUUACAACGUUCCAAACUUGAAAUGGGGUGUCUCAAAAAGGAGUGAGUGCCCUGUUACUGAAAACAUUUAGGUUAGGGCUAAAUAGCCAUCAAUUAGGGUGAUAUAAUGAGAUUCCUGUGACUGUUCCAACAAGCAUCUGGUGUGCACCAGUCAUGUAGAUUCUAAGAGACACUGAGAGCAAAGAGAAACACUUCCUCCCUCAAAGAGCUCAGGGUUUCAAGAGACUGACAUGUAAACAAACUGAUAAUAAUGGCAAUUUGGUAUAACAUAUGCAAUUUGGAGUAACGUGUGCAAAGGAACAUGGGCCAAAUUUUAACUACUAGAGAGAGAAAAGCUGAUGCUCUGCUAGGGGUAGGAGGAGGCUGAGAAUGAAACUAGAGAGGAUUUUAGGGAGAAGGUAAUGUUGAGCAGAUUUGAAGGAUAUGUAGGAGUUUUUUGUGGACACUAUUGUUCAAUUAAUGCUGGUCAAUAAGGAGAACACUCAGGAUAAGUGGGGCAGGGGUUGGGGGUUGCAAAAGACAUGGAGGUAGAAACAGCAUGGCUUAUCAAGGACCCAACUGGUUUGAAAGAUCUUCAGCAUAAGGUGGUGGGAAAGGGAAGAGAGGGGAAGUGGCAGGAGAUCAAGAAGAUGGGAGAGCAAGAAAGAGAAUGCCUUUGAUCUUGAACAGAAGGGCUUCCCUCAUGGAGAUGAGAGGAAAUGCAUAGCAAUGUGGAGAGAGUAAGGGCUGGUCAGUAAGAUUAACAUGGCUGGUGACAACAUAUUUCUCAGUGAAUAACUGAUCAACAUAAGACGAAUGAAGUUGUGUAGGGGUCUCAUGGAGACUGUCCUAAAGACUUAGCAUAAUUGUGGGCAAUGUGAAGGAAAGGCAAAAUAAUUGAUAGAUAGCAUCAAGUACCGAAAGGGAAAAUAUUAAAAUUUGUAGCGUCAGUCCACACAGGCCUCUGAUUUUCUUUAAGAGCACUCAGAUGUGUAGGGGGUCAGAGGAGAUGGGCUCUAAGGUCUUUUCUAAGUUCAAGAUUCCCAAACUCCAUGCCUUGCCAUUAUUCCCUCUUGGGCAUAUGGGAUAUUUUGUAAUGGCUUUUAAAAAAUAUAUACCAUAUAAUUGCCAAGGAAAAUUGUCUAAUUAAAUGAUUUUUAGUAUAUUCACAGAAUUGUGUUAGUAUCAUCCUAAUCAAUUUUGGAAAAUUACUCCCAAAAAAAAUCCUGUACAGGCAUACCUCAAUUUAUUGUGCUUCACUUUACCGUGUUUCACAGAUACUGCGUUUUUUUCCAAAUUGAAGGUUUGUGGCAACCCAGUGUUGAGCAAGUCUAUUGGUGCCAUUUUGCUAAUAGUAUGUGCUCACUUCGUGUCUCUGUCACGUUUUGGUAAUUCUUGCAAUAUUUCUAACAUUUUCAUUAUUGUUAUGUUAUGGUGUUGUGAUCAGUGAUCUUUGAUAUUGUUAUUGUGAUUGUUUUGGGACACCACGAACUGUGCCCAUAUAAGAUGGAAAACUUAAUUGAUAAAUGUUGUCUGCGUUCUGAUUCUUUCAUCAACUGGCUCUUCCCCCGUCUGUCUCUCCCUCUUCUUGGGCCUCCUAUUCUUUGAGACACAACAAUAUCGCAAUUACACCAAUUUAAUAACUCUACAAAGGCCUUUACGUGUUCAAAAAAAAGGAAGAGUCAUAAGUCUGACAUUUGAAAUCAAAAGCUAGAAAUGAUUAAGCUUAGUGAGGAAGGCAUGUAUAAUGCUGAAAGCUGAGAUAGCCAAAAGCUAGAACUCUUGAGCCAAACAGUUAGCCAAGUUAUGAAUGCAAAGGAAAAAUUCUUGAAGGAAAUUAAAGGUGCUAUUCUAGUGAACACAUGAGCAAUAAGAAAGUCAAACAGCAUUAUUGCUGAAAUAAAGUUUGAGUAGUCUGGAUAAAAGAUCAAACCAACCCCAACAUUCCCUUAAGCCAAAGCCUAAUUGAGAGCAAGGCCAUAACUCUUAAAUUCCCUGAAGGCUGAGAGAGGUGAGGAAGCUACAGAAGAAUAGCUGGAAGCUAGCAGAGGUUGGUUCACAAAGUUUAAGAAGCCAUCUCCAUAACAUAAAAGUGCAAGGUGAAGCAGCAAGUGCUGAGAUGGAAGCUGUAGCAAAUUAUCCAGCAGAUCAAGCUAAGAUCAUUGAUGAAGGUGGCUACACUAAACGACAUAUUUUCAAUGUAGAUAAAACAGCCUGCUUUGGAGAAAGAUGACAUCUAAGACUUUUCUAAUUAGAGAUGUCAGUGUUUGCCUUCAAAGCUUCAAAAGAACUGGCUAACUCUCUUGUUAGAGGCUAACGCAGUGGGUGACUUUAAGUUGAAACUAAUGCUCAUUUACCAUUCUGAAAAUCUUGGGGCCCUUGAGAAUUAUGCUAACUAUUCUACCUGUACUGUAUAAAUGGAACAGCAAAGCCUGGAUGACAGCACAUCUGUUUACAGCAUGAUUUACUGAAUAUUUUAAGCCCACUCUUGAGACCUACUGCUCAGAAAAAAAAAAAAUCCUUUCAAAAUAUUACCACUCAUUGACAGUGUACCUGAUCAUCCAAGAGCUCUGAUGGAGAUGUACAAAAAUAUUAAUGUUGUUUUCAUGCCUGCUAACCCAACACCCAUUCUGCAGUUCAUAAAUCAAGGGGUAAUUUUGACUUUCAAGUCUUA
Molecule: long non-coding RNA, 3079 nt
Filed under: Homo sapiens (human)
Lineage: Eukaryota; Metazoa; Chordata; Mammalia; Primates; Hominidae
Description: HSALNT0211156
Source: RNAcentral